RNAcentral lists this long non-coding RNA (1192 nucleotides) under Homo sapiens (human). RNAcentral's name for it is "HSALNT0292734". Lineage: Eukaryota; Metazoa; Chordata; Mammalia; Primates; Hominidae. The record is from RNAcentral.
GCCCAGUUUUGGGCACAGAAUGCUAAGAGGAACGCCAACAGAAUGGAGACUCGAUGCCAAUGAAUUGGGAAAUCAUAUUAUGUGACGGGCAGUUGAAGAAGGCAUGUCUGUAAAAUUGAAGAAGAGAUUUCUUAGAAUGACCUCAGUAACAAGCUUAAAUAUUUAAGUGUCUGGUGAAAGUAGGGGUGGGAUAGUCUCUGAUGUGCUACAAGAUCGAAGAAGGAGUUAAGUCCUUCUCUAGAGCCUCAAACCCCUGCUCAGCAUGAAAAAAACAACAGAAACCCAAGUUAACAUCUCCUUGCAAUAUCUGAUCUGUUUUUCCAAUACAUCUGCUCAUCUUGUUUCAAAACAAGUAGCUGUCACCAUUCUUAACCCUGUCGUCCAAACCAGAAACCGGGCAUCAUCUUUGACUGGUCCCCUUUACUCAGGGGGAAAAAAAACCAUGUCUUUUAAAGUCAGCGCCUAUAAUACUGGUCUUUGGUUUAUCUCCAAUAACUCGAUUGUUAACAGCCCUUGAAGGGGAGGCAAUACUGUUAAACUUGAUAAUUUCUAAAGAGUUUUGAGCUAUUUAGCACGAAGUGAUGCCAAGAAAAAGGAAUACUAACAUUACUCACAGCAGAGGGAAAAAUUUUAUAUCCUUUCUGAAGGCCAAGGUUAAGUUCUGUGUGACUCAGCACAUUGACUUUCUAUAUGACCCUAAAUCCCUUCUAUUUCCUGAUCUACUUGUCUUGACCUGUUUCAUUUCCACACCAAAAUAGUUUCAUUAACACAGCGAUCAUGCUCAGGAGAUAGUGGCUAACUGAUGUAAUUAACUGACAUGUCAAAGGCUAUUGGUUUAUUGCAUAUGCAACUGUCUUUCCUGGUGGGAAGAUACAGUUUCUGCUGACAUAAUAGGUAUGCAAACAUGCCAAAUUGCCCAAUAAUCUGCCCCCGUGAUGGAUCCAGCACCUGGCCUGGCACAGGGUACAUGCUCAGAGAACAAGUCUUUGAAAGAAUGGGUAGAUGUUUAUUUUCCUUUGUAUUAGCCAUUAGCUCAAGAAAGGGACUACUUCUGCUGACCACACAGAAGACGCUAACGAAGUGUCUUCUUUCCUUUAUCAUGGCCAUUGAUAGCAAGAGCUUAAGGGAAUCUUGCCUCCCUGGGCUCAGGAUAGGCUGGAGAGAAGGACACACAUAAGAGGAAAUUGACAUU